Molecule: ribosomal RNA, 1016 nt
Filed under: Escherichia coli
Lineage: Bacteria; Pseudomonadati; Pseudomonadota; Gammaproteobacteria; Enterobacterales; Enterobacteriaceae
Description: partial 23S ribosomal RNA
Rfam family: Bacterial large subunit ribosomal RNA
Source: RNAcentral
CCGGUAAACGGCGGCCGUAACUAUAACGGUCCUAAGGUAGCGAAAUUCCUUGUCGGGUAAGUUCCGACCUGCACGAAUGGCGUAAUGAUGGCCAGGCUGUCUCCACCCGAGACUCAGUGAAAUUGAACUCGCUGUGAAGAUGCAGUGUACCCGCGGCAAGACGGAAAGACCCCGUGAACCUUUACUAUAGCUUGACACUGAACAUUGAGCCUUGAUGUGUAGGAUAGGUGGGAGGCUUUGAAGUGUGGACGCCAGUCUGCAUGGAGCCGACCUUGAAAUACCACCCUUUAAUGUUUGAUGUUCUAACGUUGACCCGUAAUCCGGGUUGCGGACAGUGUCUGGUGGGUAGUUUGACUGGGGCGGUCUCCUCCUAAAGAGUAACGGAGGAGCACGAAGGUUGGCUAAUCCUGGUCGGACAUCAGGAGGUUAGUGCAAUGGCAUAAGCCAGCUUGACUGCGAGCGUGACGGCGCGAGCAGGUGCGAAAGCAGGUCAUAGUGAUCCGGUGGUUCUGAAUGGAAGGGCCAUCGCUCAACGGAUAAAAGGUACUCCGGGGAUAACAGGCUGAUACCGCCCAAGAGUUCAUAUCGACGGCGGUGUUUGGCACCUCGAUGUCGGCUCAUCACAUCCUGGGGCUGAAGUAGGUCCCAAGGGUAUGGCUGUUCGCCAUUUAAAGUGGUACGCGAGCUGGGUUUAGAACGUCGUGAGACAGUUCGGUCCCUAUCUGCCGUGGGCGCUGGAGAACUGAGGGGGGCUGCUCCUAGUACGAGAGGACCGGAGUGGACGCAUCACUGGUGUUCGGGUUGUCAUGCCAAUGGCACUGCCCGGUAGCUAAAUGCGGAAGAGAUAAGUGCUGAAAGCAUCUAAGCACGAAACUUGCCCCGAGAUGAGUUCUCCCUGACUCCUUGAGAGUCCUGAAGGAACGUUGAAGACGACGACGUUGAUAGGCCGGGUGUGUAAGCGCAGCGAUGCGUUGAGCUAACCGGUACUAAUGAACCGUGAGGCUUAACCUUACAAC